Long non-coding RNA from Prunus avium (sweet cherry), 865 nucleotides. RefSeq lists it as uncharacterized. NCBI's taxonomy places the organism in Eukaryota, Viridiplantae, Streptophyta, Magnoliopsida, Rosales, Rosaceae. The record is from RefSeq and is a predicted model, not a curated record.
GUCUGUUUUAAGUGCCCAGUCAUUUUCAGUAGCAAUGACUACUCGAGCCAAUUGCUUUGAUGAUGAACGCCUAACAGUUCUCAAGAUUUUGUAGAUUCAUGAAUUUCCAAACGGUUAAAGAAAUUUCGGCUCCGGACCAAUGUGAGGUUACUGCCCAACUCUUGGUUCCGCUCGUUUGUCAUUUAUUAGCUGAAAGGAGCUACGCUUCCUCAUGAGGGAUUAGGAGAGUAGGAAGAAGAAGGUGAGAAAAUAGUUUAGAUUGUUAAUGUGGCCAGAUUCUUUUGUUCCAAGGAGAAGCAAUUCUCAUACCUUGAUUUUGUUCACCAAACACUUCAACCAUUGCUUCCCGUGUUUCUACAGACAAGAAGAAUUUGGUUUGCCGGGAGGAAAUUGUCAACUACUAACACUAGAGCUUGGAGCAUUAGCCACUUCACUUCUAUGUAGAUGAAGUUACUUUGGUCUGGAGAUUUGAAAGUCAGCACUGUAAACUAAAUAGAUUGCAUAUAGGAGAACACUACCUUGUUCUGUAGCCAUUGGAAUGAUCGAAGCAGCAACUUGACACACACAGCACAUCUCCUCAAUAUCGAUUUCUGUAUACUCUCUCACAGAUGGGGUAUGAGUUCUCUAGAGUGGGUACUUCGAUAUGAGCAGGGACUAUGUAUUUAUAUGCAUCAGUCGGAACUCCUUGCCCAUCAAGGAGUCCUCAACCUCUCCUUAUUGCAUCAGAAUUAGUAGUUCUAAUCCACUAUGAAUUAGGAACCUUAGCAGUCUUGGACUUAAACUGAAACACUUCUCUCCAAGACUUACAAGUCCAGUUAUAAUUGAAUUCCUUAGUCUCCACAUAGCUUUGGAACUCUACGUUGAU